Molecule: ribosomal RNA, 241 nt
Filed under: uncultured Staphylococcus sp.
Lineage: Bacteria; Bacillati; Bacillota; Bacilli; Caryophanales; Staphylococcaceae
Description: partial 16S ribosomal RNA
Rfam family: Bacterial small subunit ribosomal RNA
Source: RNAcentral
CGGACGGGUGAGUAACACGUGGAUAACCUACCUAUAAGACUGGGAUAACUUCGGGAAACCGGAGCUAAUACCGGAUAAUAUAUUGAACCGCAUGGUUCAAUAGUGAAAGACGGUUUUGCUGUCACUUAUAGAUGGAUCCGCGCCGCAUUAGCUAGUUGGUAAGGUAACGGCUUACCAAGGCAACGAUGCGUAGCCGACCUGAGAGGGUGAUCGGCCACACUGUAACUGAGACACGGUCCAG